RNAcentral lists this ribosomal RNA (582 nucleotides) under uncultured Pirellula sp. Its description in RNAcentral is "bacterial SSU rRNA". It matches the Rfam family "Bacterial small subunit ribosomal RNA", at positions 102 to 694 of the family's 1533-position model. The record is from RNAcentral. Lineage: Bacteria; Pseudomonadati; Planctomycetota; Planctomycetia; Pirellulales; Pirellulaceae.
AAGGGAGAGGAAUACGUGGGAACCUACCUCAGGGCCUGGAAUAGCGGCGGGAAACUGCCGGUAAUGCCAGAUAACGUCUCCGGACCAAAGGUGUGAUUCCGCCUGGAGAUGGGCCCACGUCCUAUCAGCUAGUUGGUGUGGUAAAAGCGCACCAAGGCUAAGACGGGUAUGGGGUGUGAGAGCAUGCCCCCACUCACUGGGACUGAGACACUGCCCAGACACCUACGGGUGGCUGCAGUCGAGAAUCUUCGGCAAUGAGCGCAAGCUUGACCGAGCGAUGCCGCGUGCGGGAUGAAGGCCCUCGGGUUGUAAACCGCUGUCGUAGGGGAGUAAUGGUCAGGGGGUUCUCCCUCUGAUUUGAACAAUCCUAGGAGGAAGGACGGGCUAAGUUCGUGCCAGCAGCCGCGGUAAGACGAACCGUCCAAACGUUAUCCGGAAUCACUGGGCUUACAGAGUUCGUAGGCGGUCCCAAAAGUUAGGUGUGAAAUCCCUCGGCUCAACCGAGGAACUGCGCUUAAAACUGUGGGACUCGAGGGGGAUAGAGGAAAGCGGAACUGAUGGUGGAGCGGUGAAAUGCGUUGA